Molecule: ribosomal RNA, 468 nt
Filed under: uncultured bacterium
Lineage: Bacteria
Description: partial 16S ribosomal RNA
Rfam family: Bacterial small subunit ribosomal RNA
Source: RNAcentral
GACGAACGCUGGCGGCGUGCUUAACACAUGCAAGUCGAACGGAAAGGCCCUGCUUUUGUGGGGUGCUCGAGUGGCGAACGGGUGAGUAACACGUGAGUAACCUGCCCUUGACUUUGGGAUAACUUCAGGUAACUGGGGCUAAUACCGGAUAGGAGCUCCUGCUGCAUGGUGGGGGUUGGAAAGUUUCGGCGGUUGGGGAUGGACUCGCGGCUUAUCAGCUUGUUGGUGGGGUAGUGGCUUACCAAGGCUUUGACGGGUAGCCGGCCUUAGAGGGUGACCGGCCACAAUGGGACUGAGAUACGGCCCAGACUCCUACGGGAGGCAGCAGUGGGGAAUAUGACACAAUGGGCGGAAGCCUGAUGCAGCAACGCCGCGUGCGGGAUGACGGCCUUCGAGUUGUAAACCGCUUUCGCCUGUGACGAAGCGUGAGUGACGGUAAUGGGUAAAGAAGCACCGGCUAACUACGUG